Xyrauchen texanus (razorback sucker) is the source of this 1165-nucleotide long non-coding RNA. RefSeq lists it as uncharacterized. The transcript is spliced from 4 exons. NCBI's taxonomy places the organism in Eukaryota, Metazoa, Chordata, Actinopteri, Cypriniformes, Catostomidae. The record is from RefSeq and is a predicted model, not a curated record.
GAGUCAACUCGUGGCACGUGAGCACAGCAGUUUGCAAAUAUUUCUCGGUCGGAGCAGAUAUAUAUUAUUUGGUUAACCACCCAGAUAUUUACCCAUCGCGAUAUUUCUAGUUAAUUAUAUUUCGUGCAAGAUUGCUCAGGUGGCUCAAGUUCAAGGAAGGACACCGAGAGAGCAGAGAGGCGGGAUUUUGAGUGACGAUGAACUAAGCAAGCAUAUUUGAAAAGACUGGGAGAUGUUGAUGAGGUAGACAUGGUGAAAAAAUCAAUGUCUGCAACUCUCUCAAAUGCCUUGAUGGCACAGAUGAAUUUAAAGGGGAAACGUGGGAAGCUGCCAUUUUCUCAGUCUCUGCUAUGCCAGAUCAUCUGUGACGCUGUCAUCAAUGCAUACAACACAACAUGUACACAAAUAUUGGAGACCAUGUCAAAAUACUUAAAAUAUGCACCAGAGAGGAUGGGUGGUGGUGGCCGUAAGACGACUCUUCCAUGAAGACUCAAUUCACUUCAAAAAAUUUAAAAAAAAAAGUUUACUUAUUGUUUCUAGGUCAAUAUAUAAUUCAAGAAUGAAACCUAGAGUAAAAUGUUUUUGGUUCAUUAGUGAUUUACUGAUGUUGAAAGAUGUUACUUGAUGAUAAUUCUAGCAUGUAGUUUUAUAAGAACUUACUUGAAACCCACAUAAAAAAAAGUUUGAAUGAUAAUGGGUUUAAUGAGCCUUCUAAAAUAGUUUUGCUGUUGAACAAUAUUACUCGAAAUAAUAGUUUAUUAUUAUUCUGGCUUGUACUGUAAUGCCUUUUUUAAAGACCUGUUGAUGUUACUUGAAAUUAUAUAUUUAUUAUUAUUAUUCUGGCUUGUACUGUAAGACCGUUUUUAAAGACCUGUUGAUUUUACUUGAAAUUAUAUAUUUAUUAUUAUUAUUCUGGCUUGUACUGUAAGACCGUUUUUAAAGACCUGUUGAUGUUACUUGAAAUUAUAUAUUUAUUAUUAUUAUUCUGGCUUGUACUGUAAGACCGUUUUUAAAGACCUGUUGAACUCAAUGAAAUUAUAUAUGUAUUAUUAUUCUGGCUUGUAGUGCUGUAAGAACCUUUUUAAAGACCAAAUUUUUGAUGUUUAAUGAUGCUUUCAAUUGAUGAAUUCAAUUUAUUUCAUUAUAGUUUUGUGUUUUGCUGUUG